ACUUGGAAGAGUAAACCUCUGGUCCCGGUUACCAACCCAGAUUCAAUCUUGCAACAUUAUCCUGAGACACAUAUCCCAAGCCUUCAUUUGUGAUAAAUUUCUCCUUCCUUAUCUGGGAAAGGUGAAAACACUUCAAUGAGUUCAAGCUUCUGCCUUUGGACAAUUUGGAGUAAAUAAUGAAAGCCCAAUCCAUCUUUUCAUGACAAAUAGGGAAUCCUGCAAAGAAAGAUCCCCUGAAAGCCAGGGAUUCCCAGGGGUCUCCAGACAAUACUUUGAGAACCACUGCUGUAAUGUAUCAGUGUGGAUAAUAAGCCAUACAUAUGGUCAAUCGGAAUUAAGUAUGGCUUUUACUUGGCUUUUUAAGAGCAGUCUGC
Thamnophis elegans (Western terrestrial garter snake) is the source of this 374-nucleotide long non-coding RNA. RefSeq lists it as uncharacterized. The record is from RefSeq and is a predicted model, not a curated record. The transcript has 3 exons. Lineage: Eukaryota; Metazoa; Chordata; Lepidosauria; Squamata; Natricidae.